This 564-nucleotide ribosomal RNA is filed under the name uncultured bacterium. Its description in RNAcentral is "bacterial SSU rRNA". It matches the Rfam family "Bacterial small subunit ribosomal RNA", at positions 338 to 916 of the family's 1533-position model. The record is from RNAcentral.
CCUACGGGAGGCAGCAGUGGGGAAUCUUGCGCAAUGGGCGAAAGCCUGACGCAGCAACGCCGCGUGGGGGAUGAAGGCUCUCGGGUUGUAAACCCCUUUCAGCAGGGACGAAUCAAGACGGUACCUGCAGAAGAAGCCCCGGCUAACUACGUGCCAGCAGCCGCGGUAACACGUAGGGGGCAAGCGUUGUCCGGAUUUAUUGGGCGUAAAGAGCUCGUAGGCGGCUGAGUAAGUCGGGUGUUAAAUCCCCAGGCUCAACCUGGGACACCACCCGAUACUGCUCUGGCUAGAGUCCGGUAGGGGAGCGUGGAAUUCCUGGUGUAGCGGUGAAAUGCGCAGAUAUCAGGAGGAACACCAGCGGCGAAGGCGGCGCUCUGGGCCGGAACUGACGCUGAGGAGCGAAAGCGUGGGUAGCAAACAGGAUUAGAUACCCUGGUAGUCCACGCCGUAAACGUUGGGCACUAGGUGUGGGGUCUAUUCAACGGACUCCGUGCCGUCGCUAACGCAUUAAGUGCCCCGCCUGGGGAGUACGGCCGCAAGGCUAAAACUCAAAGGAAUUGACGG